RNAcentral lists this ribosomal RNA (516 nucleotides) under Bifidobacterium longum subsp. suillum. RNAcentral describes it as "bacterial SSU rRNA". It matches the Rfam family "Bacterial small subunit ribosomal RNA", at positions 158 to 689 of the family's 1533-position model. Lineage: Bacteria; Bacillati; Actinomycetota; Actinomycetes; Bifidobacteriales; Bifidobacteriaceae. The record is from RNAcentral.
GGGUGGUAAUGCCGGAUGCUCCAGUUGAUCGCAUGGUCUUCUGGGAAAGCUUUCGCGGUAUGGGAUGGGGUCGCGUCCUAUCAGCUUGACGGCGGGGUAACGGCCCACCGUGGCUUCGACGGGUAGCCGGCCUGAGAGGGCGACCGGCCACAUUGGGACUGAGAUACGGCCCAGACUCCUACGGGAGGCAGCAGUGGGGAAUAUUGCACAAUGGGCGCAAGCCUGAUGCAGCGACGCCGCGUGAGGGAUGGAGGCCUUCGGGUUGUAAACCUCUUUUAUCGGGGAGCAAGCGAGAGUGAGUUUACCCGUUGAAUAAGCACCGGCUAACUACGUGCCAGCAGCCGCGGUAAUACGUAGGGUGCAAGCGUUAUCCGGAAUUAUUGGGCGUAAAGGGCUCGUAGGCGGUUCGUCGCGUCCGGUGUGAAAGUCCAUCGCUUAACGGUGGAUCCGCGCCGGGUACGGGCGGGCUUGAGUGCGGUAGGGGAGACUGGAAUUCCCGGUGUAACGGUGGAAUGU